Molecule: ribosomal RNA, 531 nt
Filed under: Hottentotta saulcyi
Lineage: Eukaryota; Metazoa; Arthropoda; Arachnida; Scorpiones; Buthidae
Description: partial large subunit ribosomal RNA
Rfam family: Bacterial large subunit ribosomal RNA
Source: RNAcentral
UUCACCCUGUUUUUUCAAAAACAUUUCUUUAUUUGGAAUAAUAUAAAGUCUGCUCUGCUCAAUGCGAAAGUAAAUGGCUGCAGUAUUUCUGACUGUACAAAGGUAGCAUAAUAAUUAGUCUUUUAAUUGAAGACUGGAAUGAAAGAGUAAACCAAGAAAGAAAUCUUUCUUAUUUAGAGAGUGAAGUUUACUUUUUAGUAAAAAGGCUAAAAUAAUACUUAAAGACGAGAAGACCCUAUAAAACUUUUAUAUUAAAUACUUUUUAGUAAGAGCUUUAAUAUUUUGCUGGGGUGGCAGGGGAAAUUGACUUCUCUUAAAGAAAACUAAGAUUUAGGCUUUAAAUAACCAAAAAUUUUGAAAAAGGAAUAAGUUACUUUAGGGAUAACAGCUUAAUUUGUUUUGAAAGUUCUAAUUGACAAGCAAGUUUAGGACCUCGAUGUUGAAUUAAAAGCCCUUUAUUUGUGCAAAAGCUUUAAAAGGAGGUCUGUUCGACCUUUAAAUUUUUCCAUGAUCUGAGUUCAAACCGGUGAA